GUCCCUUAUUCUCCUCCAUGAUGCUAAAUGCACAAAGUCUCCAGGAACGCACUAGACCUGUCUGUCCUUUCUCUGAAGACUUUGAGCCACCAUCCUGUCCCCUGCAUCUGUGAUGAAGACAAGUUAAUGAGAGUGAAGAUGAAGGUGGUGGAGCCUCUAUACAGGCCAGUUCUACCAAAGGACUCCAAAGUAACAGAAAGGAAUAGCGAGACCAUGGGGAAAUGUAUAGAGUGAUUAAUAAACCUGGAAGGAAGAGGUCUCCGGCAGAAAGUGAGAAGUCCCUGCCAGAUCAGAUGUUCAACUUUAAAACAAAUGGAGGAAAAACAAUCAAAUGCAGUCAACUAGAAAAAUCCACUUUUCCUAUUUCAUAAAAAGCAAGAGCCCAUAUGAUAAUCCCUCCCUUGGCACAUGUUAGAGAUCUCUUUAUUGUUUCUUUGCUUGUGGCCAAUUCUGCCACGCCCAGCUGGAGGCCUGGGCUGUGUUGACUUCAUUUGCUCCAGGUCAGCGUGCUGGUUCUACAUCAGUAGGUCCAGCCCUGAAUUUGAGCAGUUUUCCAGGACCAGGACAUGACUGCCUGUGUGGAAGGGAAGGCGAGGAAGAGGGUGA
RNAcentral lists this long non-coding RNA (606 nucleotides) under Fukomys damarensis (Damara mole-rat). Its description in RNAcentral is "lncRNA (ENSFDAG00000033167.1)". The record is from RNAcentral. Lineage: Eukaryota; Metazoa; Chordata; Mammalia; Rodentia; Bathyergidae.